RNAcentral lists this non-coding RNA (29 nucleotides) under Rattus norvegicus (Norway rat). The record is from RNAcentral. Lineage: Eukaryota; Metazoa; Chordata; Mammalia; Rodentia; Muridae.
UCGGGCCAACAACUCAAAUCAGCAACUUC